RNAcentral lists this ribosomal RNA (468 nucleotides) under uncultured bacterium. RNAcentral's name for it is "partial 16S ribosomal RNA". It matches the Rfam family "Bacterial small subunit ribosomal RNA", at positions 28 to 507 of the family's 1533-position model. The record is from RNAcentral.
GACGAACGCUGGCGGCGUGCUUAACACAUGCAAGUCGAACGGAAAGGCCCUGCUUUUGUGGGGUGCUCGAGUGGCGAACGGGUGAGUAACACGUGAGUAACCUGCCCUUGACUUUGGGAUAACUUCAGGAAACUGGGGCUAAUACCGGAUAGGAGCUCCUGCUGCAUGGUGGGGGUUGGAAAGUUUCGGCGGUUGGGGAUGGACUCGCGGCUUAUCAGCUUGUUGGUGGGGUAGUGGCUUACCAAGGCUUUGACGGGUAGCCGGCCUGAGAGGGUGACCGGCCACAUUGGGACUGAGAUACGGCCCAGACUCCUACGGGAGGCAGCAGUGGGGAAUAUUGCACAAUGGGCGGAAGCCUGAUGCAGAAACGCCGCGUGCGGAAUGACGGCCUUCGGGUUGUAAACCGCUUUCGCCUGUGACGAAGCGUGAGUGACGGUAAUGGGUAAAGAAGCACCGGCUAACUACGUG